This 460-nucleotide ribosomal RNA is filed under the name uncultured bacterium. RNAcentral's name for it is "partial 16S ribosomal RNA". It matches the Rfam family "Bacterial small subunit ribosomal RNA", at positions 338 to 795 of the family's 1533-position model. The record is from RNAcentral.
CCUACGGGAGGCAGCAGUGAGGAAUAUUGGUCAAUGGACGAGAGUCUGAACCAGCCAAGUAGCGUGAAGGAUGACUGCCCUAUGGGUUGUAAACUUCUUCUAUAUGGGAAUAAAACGUUCCAUGUGUGGGAUUUUGUAUGUACCUUAUGAAUAAGGAUCGGCUAACUCAGUGCCAGCAGCCGCGGUAAUACGGAGGAUCCGAGCGUUAUCCGGAUUUAUUGGGUUUAAAGGGUGCGUAGGCGGCCUGUGAAGUCAGCGGUGAAAGUCUGUGGCUCAACCAUAGAAUUGCCGUUGAAACUGGCGGGCUUGAGUAUGUUUGAGGCAGGCGGAAUUCGUAGUGUAGCGGUGAAAUGCUUAGAUAUCACGAAGAACUCCUGUUGCGAAGGCAGCUUACUAAACUGCCACUGACAUUGAUGCUCGAAAGUGUGGGUAUCAAACAGGAUUAGAUACCCGGGUAGUC